UAAACGACUCUCGGCAACGGAUAUCUCGGCUCUCGCAUCGAUGAAGAACGUAGCGAAAUGCGAUACUUGGUGUGAAUUGCAGAAUCCCGUGAACCAUCGAGUCUUUGAACGCAAGUUGCGCCCGAAGCCUUGGCUGAAGGCACGCCUGCCUGGGUGUCACGCA
RNAcentral lists this ribosomal RNA (163 nucleotides) under Combretum alfredii. Its description in RNAcentral is "5.8S ribosomal RNA". It matches the Rfam family "5.8S ribosomal RNA". From Rfam's summary of the family: 5.8S ribosomal RNA (5.8S rRNA) is a component of the large subunit of the eukaryotic ribosome. It is transcribed by RNA polymerase I as part of the 45S precursor that also contains 18S and 28S rRNA. Lineage: Eukaryota; Viridiplantae; Streptophyta; Magnoliopsida; Myrtales; Combretaceae. The record is from RNAcentral.